CCCUGGCAGUCAGAGGCGAUGAAGGACGUGCUAAUCUGCGAAAAGCGUCGGUAAGGUGAUAUGAACCGUUAUAACCGGCGAUGUCCGAAUGGGGAAACCCAGUGUGAUUCGUCACACUAUCGUUAACUGAAUACAUAGGUUAACGAGGCGAACCGGGGGAACUGAAACAUCUAAGUACCCCGAGGAAAAGAAAUCAACCGAGAUUCCCCCAGUAGCGG
Molecule: ribosomal RNA, 218 nt
Filed under: Klebsiella pneumoniae
Lineage: Bacteria; Pseudomonadati; Pseudomonadota; Gammaproteobacteria; Enterobacterales; Enterobacteriaceae
Description: partial 23S ribosomal RNA
Rfam family: Bacterial large subunit ribosomal RNA
Source: RNAcentral